This 1441-nucleotide ribosomal RNA is filed under the name Enterococcus durans. Its description in RNAcentral is "bacterial SSU rRNA". It matches the Rfam family "Bacterial small subunit ribosomal RNA". Lineage: Bacteria; Bacillati; Bacillota; Bacilli; Lactobacillales; Enterococcaceae. The record is from RNAcentral.
GUCGUACGCUUCUUUUUCCACCGGAGCUUGCUCCACCGGAAAAAGAAGAGUGGCGAACGGGUGAGUAACACGUGGGUAACCUGCCCAUCAGAAGGGGAUAACACUUGGAAACAGGUGCUAAUACCGUAUAACAAUCGAAACCGCAUGGUUUUGAUUUGAAAGGCGCUUUCGGGUGUCGCUGAUGGAUGGACCCGCGGUGCAUUAGCUAGUUGGUGAGGUAACGGCUCACCAAGGCCACGAUGCAUAGCCGACCUGAGAGGGUGAUCGGCCACAUUGGGACUGAGACACGGCCCAAACUCCUACGGGAGGCAGCAGUAGGGAAUCUUCGGCAAUGGACGAAAGUCUGACCGAGCAACGCCGCGUGAGUGAAGAAGGUUUUCGGAUCGUAAAACUCUGUUGUUAGAGAAGAACAAGGAUGAGAGUAACUGUUCAUCCCUUGACGGUAUCUAACCAGAAAGCCACGGCUAACUACGUGCCAGCAGCCGCGGUAAUACGUAGGUGGCAAGCGUUGUCCGGAUUUAUUGGGCGUAAAGCGAGCGCAGGCGGUUUCUUAAGUCUGAUGUGAAAGCCCCCGGCUCAACCGGGGAGGGUCAUUGGAAACUGGGAGACUUGAGUGCAGAAGAGGAGAGUGGAAUUCCAUGUGUAGCGGUGAAAUGCGUAGAUAUAUGGAGGAACACCAGUGGCGAAGGCGGCUCUCUGGUCUGUAACUGACGCUGAGGCUCGAAAGCGUGGGGAGCAAACAGGAUUAGAUACCCUGGUAGUCCACGCCGUAAACGAUGAGUGCUAAGUGUUGGAGGGUUUCCGCCCUUCAGUGCUGCAGCUAACGCAUUAAGCACUCCGCCUGGGGAGUACGACCGCAAGGUUGAAACUCAAAGGAAUUGACGGGGGCCCGCACAAGCGGUGGAGCAUGUGGUUUAAUUCGAAGCAACGCGAAGAACCUUACCAGGUCUUGACAUCCUUUGACCACUCUAGAGAUAGAGCUUCCCCUUCGGGGGCAAAGUGACAGGUGGUGCAUGGUCGUCGUCAGCUCGUGUCGUGAGAUGUUGGGUUAAGUCCCGCAACGAGCGCAACCCUUAUUGUUAGUUGCCAUCAUUCAGUUGGGCACUCUAGCAAGACUGCCGGUGACAAACCGGAGGAAGGUGGGGAUGACGUCAAAUCAUCAUGCCCCUUAUGACCUGGGCUACACACGUGCUACAAUGGGAAGUACAACGAGUCGCGAAGUCGCGAGGCUAAGCUAAUCUCUUAAAGCUUCUCUCAGUUCGGAUUGUAGGCUGCAACUCGCCUACAUGAAGCCGGAAUCGCUAGUAAUCGCGGAUCAGCACGCCGCGGUGAAUACGUUCCCGGGCCUUGUACACACCGCCCGUCACACCACGAGAGUUUGUAACACCCGAAGUCGGUGAGGUAACCUUUUGGAGCCAGCCGCCUAAGGUGGGAUAGAUGA